Molecule: RNA transcript, 2567 nt
Organism: Momordica charantia (bitter melon)
Lineage: Eukaryota; Viridiplantae; Streptophyta; Magnoliopsida; Cucurbitales; Cucurbitaceae
Gene name: transcription factor GTE4
Source: RefSeq, a predicted model, not a curated record
GGAAAAAAAAAAAAAGUUUCAGAGACAAACCAUGUGGGCGCCUCUCCGCGCGUGUAAUUCGCUCUCGGCCACCACUUCUGCGCUUCACAGUCAUCAAUGGAAGUCCGAAGUCCGAACUAAGGAGCGAAACGAUGAGCUUCAUCAAUCUGUUGAAGAACUUUUCGAAUCAAUCUCCAAUCCAUUGUAUGAUUUCUCGGAUUUCUUCUCCGAAUCGAAGCCCUAAUUUUUUGAUUUACUAUGAUCGUCAAGCUUAAACCCUAGUUUCCGUAUAAUUUGAUUUCCAUUCUACAUCCUCCCGCCGUAUCGAUCGUGCUUUGAACUUGUUAGGGCCACGCUUUUUAUGGAUUUCUAUGAACCCCUGGUUGUAGUGCCAUUCGAUAUUCUUCUCUUUUGCUAGUGUCAAAAUCUAGGGUUUUAUUAUCGUGGCAGAUUACAUGUAUGGCUUCGGUGCUGCGAGGUGGCGGUGAUGCAAGAGAAAACCCCGGUGGGAGGGCGGAAAAUAACAAGUUCGGUACCGGAAAGCAACAAAUCGAGAGAAAAUUUGGCAAACACGUCGCCCAAAAAUCCGUACAGAUUCCAGCCGUCGCGGCCACCAAUGGCGGUGGUGAUCCGUCUCCUCCUCCUCAAAGUCCGAUCGAUGUUUUAGUCACGUCAAGGAAUUCCUUGGGUCAGAAUCGCUGCAUCGAGCCGGUUAAUGCCAGGGAGCCAGGAUAUACGAGGUUUGAGAACCGGGUUAGGAUUAGUCUGAAUUCCAGGUCGAGGUCUGGGAUUAAAGAACUCACCACAAAGCUGAAGGGUGAGCUUGAUCAGGUCAGGAGCCUCGUGAAGAAGUUUGAAGCUCAAGAGUUGCAGAUUAGUGGCUAUGGUGGUGAUGUUGGACAUAGCCAGUCACAGUUUUCAGCGAAUAAUUUGGUAGAGAAGGCUGGUAGCACAUUAAAGGUUGGUUCCGAGGUGGGUUCCGCAGACGUGCCCACUUCGAGGCUUGUUCAAAGCGUUUCGGUCGCAGGAAACUUUGGGGAAUUUGCAGAGAAAGAGAUGAGGACGCCUAAAAAUUCAAAGCAUGCUCCUGAGAAGGAGUUCCUGCCUUCGGACUGUGAUUCAAAUGGAGGUAAGAUUGGUCCAAUAAUCAAGAGUUGUAGUAAUUUGCUGGAAAAAUUGAUGAAACAUAAACAUGGUUGGGUAUUUAAUGUGCCUGUUGAUGCAAAGCGUUUGGGGCUUCAUGAUUAUCACAAGAUUAUAACAAAGCAGAUGGAUUUGGGUACCGUGAAGAUGAGACUAAAUAAGAACUGGUACAAGUCACCAAGAGAGUUUGCAGAGGAUGUGAGACUUACAUUUAGUAAUGCCAUUACUUAUAACCCAAAAGGAGAGGAUGUUCAUUUGAUGGCGGAGCAGUUGUCUAAGAUAUUCGAAGAGAAAUGGAGGAUUAUCGAGGCCAAACAAAAUGUUGGUAAGGGAUUACAAAAGGACGAUGGUUCAGUUUUACCAACACCCACUUCUAGGAAAUCUCCAGCUCUUGCGACUCCUCCGGUGGAAUCGAGAACCCUAGAGUCUACAACAAAGCCUCUGCCUGCAAAUAGGGGGAUUUUAGGUAAAUCAGAUUCAAUAACUAAACCCCCCAAUGCCAAACAGAAACACGCAAAUGUUGCCCAUCAUCCUGAUAAAAAAUCAAAAGCCAAGAAUAGCGAAAACAGAGAUAUGACUUAUGAAGAAAAACAGAAACUGAGCAUUGACCUUCAGAAUUUACCAUCAGAUAAGCUGAACAAUGUUGUCAAGAUUAUUAAGAAGAGGAACCAGGGGCUCUUCCAAAAUGACGAUGAAAUUGAGUUGGAUAUUGGUAGCGUUGAUUCCGAAACCCUCUGGGAGCUUGAGACAUUUGUAGCAGAUUACAAAAAAAGCUUGAUCAAGAACAAGAGGAAAGCUGACGCCAAUCUUCACUCUGGAGAAAAAUCAUCUCACCACUCUACCAAGGACACUGAUCGAGCUGUGGCUAAUGCAGGAGAAGAACCUGUAGGUGGUAAUGCAGACUCUGAAGGUGAUAGUUCCUCGACAUGUGGAGAUGCAAACCAGUCUCCCUCAAGUUGAAUCGACUAAACUAAGGCAUCAUCUGAUCUAAAAGAUUGUGUUCAUCUUGCUUGCACUCUACACCAGAUAGGUUUUUUCUUAUGAAGAUGAAGAAACUAUCUGUGCAAUCUAAAAUUGAUGAGCUCAUUCCUCUGCAUCAGGAUGGUGUAGUUUGGUUGGUGGUAGCAUCAGAGCAAUCUUCCAUGCUCAUUCAGAGGAAAGAGAUCAAAAGUUUUCUUGAUAAUUCUAGAUGAUGGAAUCAGAAAUCCCAUUCAUGGUUUCCUUUGCAUUUUAUGAAUACCCACUUCCCCAUUUCUUCUCUUGACAAUUGUAACUCCAUAUUUUUGUAAAAUAAGAUCUAGGAGCUAGUACAUCCCAAUUCUCUUCCAAGUUCUACAGUCUAGGAUUGAUCUUUCCAUGUUUUUUGGUCCCAAACUUCUUUACAUCCUUGUAACAUUUAAUGUUGCAUGUAUAUAUGAAAGCAGUCUUUGACAUUUCUUUCAAAA